This 253-nucleotide ribosomal RNA is filed under the name uncultured bacterium. RNAcentral's name for it is "partial 16S ribosomal RNA". It matches the Rfam family "Bacterial small subunit ribosomal RNA", at positions 524 to 776 of the family's 1533-position model. The record is from RNAcentral.
UACGUAGGUGGCAAGCGUUGUCCGGAUUUAUUGGGGUUAAAGGGUGCGUAGGCGGCCUUGUAAGUCAGUGCUGAAAUAUCCCGGCUUAACCGGGAGGGUGGCAUUGAUACUGCAGGGCUUGAGUAAAGUUGAGGUUGGCGGAAUUGACGGUGUAGCGGUGAAAUGCUUAGAUAUCGUCAAGAACACCGAUAGUGAAGGCAGCUAACUAAGCUUUAACUGACGCUGAGGCACGAAAGUGUGGGGAUCAAACAGG